AUUUUGAGUACUGUCCAGCCCAGGCGACUUCUUACUACCAUCAUUAUGUCUUCUGAAGAAGGAAAACUAUUUGUUGGGGGGCUGAACUUUGAUACUGAUGAACAAGGCCUUGAACAGCAUUUCAGCUCUUUUGGUCCUAUUUCUGAAGUGGUUGUGAUCAAAGACAAAGAAACACAGCGAUCAAGAGGCUUUGGUUUUAUUACCUUUUCCAAUCCUGAUCAUGCAUCAGAUGCCAUGAGAGCAAUGAAUGGAGAGUCUAUAGAUGGGCGUCAGAUCAGAGUUGAUCAUGCUGGGAAAUCUCGUGGAUCCAGAGGUGGCUACUUUGGAGGCAGGGGACGAGGUCGUGGCUAUUCCCGAGGUGGAGACAGAAGCUAUGGUGGAGACAGAAGCUAUGGUGGAGACAGAAGCUAUGGUGGACGGUACGAUAGCCGAAGCGGAGGCUACAGUAGUUCCCGUGACUACAGCAGAAGUCAAGGAAACUAUAAUGAUCGAUACUCCUCAGGAGGUUCAUAUAGAGACAACUAUGACAACUGAGGCAAGAAGAUUAUAAGUGGUUAUUCUGCCUAAAAUAAUAACCAUUGACCUCUGAAGUAAGGAACAAGGAGAUUGCUGCUUCACCAAGGUUUUAAAAACCACACUAAAGACUUUCUGUUCUAUUUGCUAGAAUAGUAUAACAGUGAACCAGAGAAGAAGGGAGCCAAGAUUGUCCAAUCAGAUUGCAGGAAUUCACACCUAUCAAAAUUGUUGUAACAAGUAUAACAGACCAAGAGGACUUGUCACUAGGUUGUAUUAGAUUGCUGGAAAUACAUCCACCCACAAGGACUUUUUUCUGAUUAGCUAACUAGUUCUAUCUAAGAAUCCAUGCAAAAUUGGAAGACAUCGUAAUCACCUUACUGAAUUUGUGUAUUGAUGAAUAACUAUUCUGAUCCUGUAAUGGUUUUACAAGUUGGGGAAAUGGAUGUACAUAUCUACAGUUGUGUAAUUCUUGGCCUAAAUUUUCUAUGAAUGUCAGAUCAAAGUAAGAGAAUCCUUAAUGCUUUUGCUUAGAUCAUGCAUUAAUGCUAUACAGUUGGUUAUUGUUGGGUUUUUUUAAAAAGUAUGUUCUCUCUACCCUUAAAACUUUCAUUUCCAAAACUGUCAAUAUAGCAAAGUUUCUAAUAAAGUGUACUGAUUGAACAGUUA
This is an RNA transcript of Thamnophis sirtalis, 1182 nucleotides long. It is a transcript of the gene named RNA binding motif protein 3, with no coding region annotated. The record is from RefSeq and is a predicted model, not a curated record. Lineage: Eukaryota; Metazoa; Chordata; Lepidosauria; Squamata; Natricidae.